Lolium perenne is the source of this 827-nucleotide long non-coding RNA. RefSeq lists it as uncharacterized. NCBI's taxonomy places the organism in Eukaryota, Viridiplantae, Streptophyta, Magnoliopsida, Poales, Poaceae. The record is from RefSeq and is a predicted model, not a curated record.
ACGCCGUCGCGCCGCCAGCCAACGCCAACGCCGCGGCGCCGCCAGCCCACGCCGCCGCCGCCGUCCGACCCGUGGCCCUGCAUCCCCAACGCCGUUGCCCUUCAUCUCCAACGCCGCCGUCUGACCCAUGGCCCUGCAUCCCCAACGCCGCCGCCCUCCAUCUCCAACACCGCCGUCCGACCCGUGGCCCUGCAUCCCCAACGCCGCCGUCCUAGGACGCAGCCCUGCAUCUCCAACGCCGCGCCGCCCGUUCACCCGACGCGAGAACUCCUCUGCCUGAAGCGAGGACACCGGCGCCUUGCACCACAGCUCCUCCAAAGCAGGAAUGGAAGAAUCUAUGGCAGUGAUGGCUUGCCGGAGGUUCAUGAUUCACGCACAAAGUCUGCUGCCAUCCAAUUGAACAAGCAUGCAUGAUCACCGGAUGAGGGUGCGUUGAGGUUGUGGGCUGCGUGAGGUCCGAAGAGCUGGUCUGCUGGGAGGACGUGCCUGAAUCAGCCAGGCUGGAAGGCUUGAGUGACUUUUGCUGGCUUUGCGAGAAUCCACAGGUCUGAUCAAGAUUCUCAAGAAGUAUGACAAGAGAACUGGUGCCAUUCAAAAUGUGAUGCUUCAGUGUUGAAGUUCUUCAACACUGAGCUCCUGUACCACCUUGUGGAGGAGUGUGAGGCCAUGCUCAACCAAGUCCUACCAUAUUGAACAAACCAUAAUCCUAGUUCUUCCUUGAAUAGCAGCGGAUGCAUUCCAGUGAUAUAACUGCUCUGAUAAUAUGUUUCCAAGCAUGAUAUGAGAACGAGAACAUGUACAUGACUAGCUUGAUGAAAUAUAUUGUA